RNAcentral lists this ribosomal RNA (314 nucleotides) under uncultured eukaryote. RNAcentral's name for it is "partial 18S ribosomal RNA". It matches the Rfam family "Eukaryotic small subunit ribosomal RNA", at positions 1470 to 1796 of the family's 1831-position model. The record is from RNAcentral.
CCCUUAGAUGUCCUGGGCCGCACGCGUGCUACACUGAUGCAUACAGCGAGCACUUCCCGGCCCCGAAAGGCGGCUGGUAAUCAGCAAUAUGCAUCGUGAUGGGGAUAGAUCUUUGGAAUUCUUGAUCUUGAACGAGGAAUGCCUAGUAGGCGCAAGUCAUUACCUUGCGUCGAUUAAGUCCCUGCCCUUUGUACACACCGCCCGUCGCUCCUACCGAUUCGAGUGAUCCGGUGAACCUUUUGGACCGAGGCUGUCUCGGCAGUCUUGGGAAAUCAAGUAAACCACGUCACUUAGAGGAAGGAGAAGUCGUAACA